Molecule: non-coding RNA, 1397 nt
Organism: Lactuca sativa (garden lettuce)
Lineage: Eukaryota; Viridiplantae; Streptophyta; Magnoliopsida; Asterales; Asteraceae
Source: RefSeq, a predicted model, not a curated record
ACUAUUUGAUUUUAUUUUCUUUAUAUUUUUUUUCAAAUAAAAAUUAAGAACAACCAAACCCUAGAAGAUACAAAACACAAAUCGGUGAUCCCAGAGUUAAACAAACAUCAAUUCAUCUUAAUAACAACUCAUCGAUACAAAUUCAUAUCCGAAUUUGAAGAAAAAGGUUUUGUGUGAUCCAUUCCAUUCACAAGAAUUGUAAUUAAAAACACAAUGAGGUUCAAAAAAGGUAGCAAAAUGGAGGUUAUGAAUUACUAUGAUUAUGAAGGUGGUGUGGAAAAGGUAUCUAGGAGGUUUGUAAGAAAGAAGAUUGGUUCAAAGAUCUGUGAGGAAGAAGAAGAAGAUGCAUCUAGGAAACAAAAGAGAGCUUCCCCUUUUUGCUCAUCUGUUCAUGAAUCAAGUCAAAAAGUCAAGAAAGUCAAACCUGGGAGUCAAAGAAGAUAUGUUUCAUGCGAUUCUUAUAAAAAGAGUUACAAAAUUGGAGGCAUGCAUCUUUUGCUUCCAAAGAUCCAAACAAGAUUCUGAUUCUGCUGGAAAACAGUUUUGCGGGAUCCAUUUGCAUUUGCUACUUCAGAUAAGAUAUAGUUUUUGUAUCUUAGUGUUCUUGUUAAAAACAAGAAUGUCUUCAGAUUGCUCUUUGAUUAUCCAAAAUCUUUCCUUUUUGGUCCUCUUGUUACCAUUUUUAUUGGUGUUUCUUUCCCUUUAAAGAAGUCAACAUUUCCUGUUUAUUAACUAUCAACAAUUCCAUGUUAUAUGCAUGUAUAUUAACUCCAAUGCAGGUUUAUUGUGAGAAGAAUCCUCAAAAGGAACUGUAAGUAUUAAAGAUUCUUUUUUUUUCAUAGAUCUUUGUUUUUUUUGAAAGAGAAUGAUUGUUUAAUAGUUGCUGAGUGAGUCAGAUCUGAUUGAGUCAAAGAUCUGACUGAGUCACAGACACAACCGUGAAUUUGAAUCUGACGAUCAAAGGAGCCAGGACCGAGGCUUCUAAGUGUGGUAUCAAACAGUCUGAAUCUGACCCAGUCUCGGUCUCAGUAAGAGGAAUAGAAACUUUAUGUGACACAUUUAUGUGUUGAUCAUAAUGGAUUUGAUGUUAUCUUUAUUGCUUUUGAGGAUCUUUUUUAUCCUUUUAUGGCAGGGAGGUGAUAGGUUAUUAAUGGUAACUAUUGAUUACCAAAUGUUGAUGAUGAAUAGGGAUGUUGUGUGUUUCGAGAUGAUGAUGGAACAGACAUGUAUUUCAAGGUAGUUUGAAUGAUGGAACAACAUUUGUUUAUGGGAUGAUUGUGGGAAAAAGGAACACUUUCUGUUGUAGGAUGACAAGUGUGUUCUAAGUUGGGGAGGAUACAUAUGUAUACAAGCCAUUAAUUAUAUAAAAGAAUAUUGCAUAAUGUUUAAAUGGUUCA